Molecule: small RNA, 18 nt
Filed under: Arabidopsis thaliana (thale cress)
Lineage: Eukaryota; Viridiplantae; Streptophyta; Magnoliopsida; Brassicales; Brassicaceae
Description: ATSL064880
Source: RNAcentral
GAUGCAUCUGUUUGAUUU